UACGGAAGGCAGCAGUGGGGAAUAUUGCACAAUGGGCGAAAGCCUGAUGCAGCUAUGCCGCGUGUAUGAAGAAGGCCUUAGGGUUGUAAAGUACUUUCAUCGGGGAGGAAAAAACAAAACUAAUAAUUUUAUUUCUUGACGUUACCCGAAAAAGAAGCACCGGCUAACUCCGUGCCAGUAGCCGCGGUAAUACGGAGGGUGCUAGCGUUAAUCAGAAUUACUGGGCGUAAAAGAGCACGUAGGUGGUUUUUUUAAGUCAGAUGUGAAAUCCCUGGGCUUAACCUAGGAACUGCAUUUUGAAACUGAAAAUACUAGAGUAUCGUAGAGGGAGGUAGAAUUCUAGGUGUAGCGGUGAAAUGCGUAGAUAUCUGGAGGAAUACCUGUGGCGAAAGCGGCCUCCUAAACGAAUACUGACACUGAGGGUGCGAAAGCGUGGGGAGCAAACAGGAUUA
This 452-nucleotide ribosomal RNA is filed under the name uncultured bacterium. RNAcentral describes it as "bacterial SSU rRNA". It matches the Rfam family "Bacterial small subunit ribosomal RNA", at positions 340 to 780 of the family's 1533-position model. The record is from RNAcentral.